GCCACGGGAGUCCAGCGCGCUGGGCUGAGAGGAGGGGCGAGCCCCUCGACCGUACGAACCUGAACCGGAUCAUGCCGGCGCAGGGAGGC
This 89-nucleotide non-coding RNA is filed under the name Saccharopolyspora erythraea. RNAcentral's name for it is "TPP sequence". It matches the Rfam family "TPP riboswitch aptamer (THI element)", at positions 8 to 91 of the family's 105-position model. Rfam says of the family: Vitamin B(1) in its active form thiamin pyrophosphate (TPP) is an essential coenzyme that is synthesised by coupling of pyrimidine and thiazole moieties in bacteria. The record is from RNAcentral. RNAcentral also lists the same sequence under 1 other name. Lineage: Bacteria; Bacillati; Actinomycetota; Actinomycetes; Pseudonocardiales; Pseudonocardiaceae.